RNAcentral lists this transfer RNA (72 nucleotides) under Bos taurus (domestic cattle). It matches the Rfam family "tRNA". From Rfam's summary of the family: Transfer RNA (tRNA) molecules are approximately 80 nucleotides in length. Their secondary structure includes four short double-helical elements and three loops (D, anti-codon, and T loops). Further hydrogen bonds mediate the characteristic L-shaped molecular structure. tRNAs have two regions of fundamental functional importance: the anti-codon, which is responsible for specific mRNA codon recognition, and the 3' end, to which the tRNAs corresponding amino acid is attached (by aminoacyl-tRNA synthetases). tRNAs cope with the degeneracy of the genetic code in two manners: having more than one tRNA (with a specific anti-codon) for a particular amino acid; and 'wobble' base-pairing, i.e. permitting non-standard base-pairing at the 3rd anti-codon position. The record is from Rfam by way of RNAcentral. RNAcentral also lists the same sequence under 4 other names. Lineage: Eukaryota; Metazoa; Chordata; Mammalia; Artiodactyla; Bovidae.
UCUCUGAUGGUCCAGUGGUUAGGACUUGGUGCUGUCACUGCUGGGGCCUGGGUUCAAUUCCCGGUUGAAGAA